GAUCAACGCUGGCGGCGUGCAUGAGACAUGCAAGUCGAACGAAGGAUCGGGCUUGCUCGAUCCUUAGUGGCGGACGGCUGAGUAACGCGUAGGUGACCUACCCCGAAGUGGGGAAUAACUGCCCGAAAGGGCGGCUAAUACCGCAUGUGGUCGCACGUUCAUUCGUGCGAGUAAAGCCGCAAGGCGCUUCGGGCGGGGCCUGCGUCCGAUUAGCUCGUUGGUGGGGUAAUGGCUUACCAAGGCGACGAUCGGUAGGUGGUCUGAGAGGACGAUCACCCAGACUGGGACUGAGACACGGCCCAGACUCCUACGGGAGGCAGCAGUCGGGAAUUUUGCUCAAUGGGGGAAACCCUGAAGCAGCAACGCCGCGUGAGGGAUGAAGGCCUUCGGGUUGUAAACCUCUUUUGUCAGGGACGAUGAUGACGGUACCUGGCGAAUAAGCCACGGCUAACUACGUG
RNAcentral lists this ribosomal RNA (458 nucleotides) under uncultured bacterium. Its description in RNAcentral is "partial 16S ribosomal RNA". It matches the Rfam family "Bacterial small subunit ribosomal RNA", at positions 28 to 507 of the family's 1533-position model. The record is from RNAcentral.